GAUGAACGCUGGCGGCGUGCCUAAUACAUGCAAGUCGAGCGAACAGACGAGGAGCUUGCUCCUCUGACGUUAGCGGCGGACGGGUGAGUAACACGUGGAUAACCUACCUAUAAGACUGGGAUAACUUCGGGAAACCGGAGCUAAUACCGGAUAAUAUAUUGAACCGCAUGGUUCAAUAGUGAAGGACGGUUUUGCUGUCACUUAUAGAUGGAUCCGCGCCGCAUUAGCUAGUUGGUAAGGUAACGGCUUACCAAGGCAACGAUGCGUAGCCGACCUGAGAGGGUGAUCGGCCACACUGGAACUGAGACACGGUCCAGACUCCUACGGGAGGCAGCAGUAGGGAAUCUUCCGCAAUGGGCGAAAGCCUGACGGAGCAACGCCGCGUGAGUGAUGAAGGUCUUCGGAUCGUAAAACUCUGUUAUUAGGGAAGAACAAAUGUGUAAGUAACUAUGCACGUCUUGACGGUACCUAAUCAGAAAGCCACGGCUAACUACGU
RNAcentral lists this ribosomal RNA (496 nucleotides) under uncultured bacterium. RNAcentral's name for it is "partial 16S ribosomal RNA". It matches the Rfam family "Bacterial small subunit ribosomal RNA", at positions 28 to 506 of the family's 1533-position model. The record is from RNAcentral.